UACCACUUUGUCACAAGAUGAAUAACAGCGGGCUGUAUUAUCUCGGAAUUUACAACUUUACCAACAUUUACUUUAAGCAAUUAAACUAUAUAUACUACUUUUGAUUCUACCACCAAAAUAAUCUCCAUUUUCCCUUUCUCCAGGAUAAAGAUGAGAUGGUCAUAUCCUAAUUUUCUUGUCCCUGCCUCCUUUUUGCUACAGCAUCUUCUGAGGCUCACAGGAGAAUAUGGAAUGUGAUCUAUCCAAUCACAGUCAGUGUGAUGAUUUUAUUCCAAAUAUCUACCAAGGAAUGACCAGGAGAAUAAGAUCCUCCGACGUUCGCAAUGGUGUGGUGUCAGGAGGCUGCCUCUUAGACAAUCUCCAGAUGUACUGGGAUGUGAGCUUGAAAAAGAGUUCCUGAAGUACCACAUCUGGAAGACAUGCCACUAGCUGAGCUUCCCAAAAGUCUACCAAGAGCUGAGGAGUUGUAUCUUCAUCCUUAGCACAAAGCAUCUUGAAAACAGUAAAAGAAGCCUCUAUAUUCCAGAUAAAUAUAGCACUGAUAAAGCGACAGCUGGGCUGAAUAUCAAAGCAUCACAUGGGCCAUGCAAUUAAUAAUUUACCAUUAGCAUUAGUGCCAUGGCGAAAGAAAAUUUAGACUUUUUUUAAAGGAAACAGAUUCUAGGUUGUACAAAUAAAGUUUCUUCAGAUAUAAUCUUUUAAUUAGUACUUUUAUAACUGAUUAUGUAUGUCUGUUUUUUCAAUAAACAAA
Molecule: long non-coding RNA, 751 nt
Organism: Cercocebus atys (sooty mangabey)
Lineage: Eukaryota; Metazoa; Chordata; Mammalia; Primates; Cercopithecidae
Exons: 2
Source: RefSeq, a predicted model, not a curated record